Long non-coding RNA from Temnothorax curvispinosus, 1023 nucleotides. RefSeq lists it as uncharacterized. NCBI's taxonomy places the organism in Eukaryota, Metazoa, Arthropoda, Insecta, Hymenoptera, Formicidae. The transcript is spliced from 2 exons. The record is from RefSeq and is a predicted model, not a curated record.
AUCGUGGACACCGGGCUUUAGCAUGGUACUUUGGUUCCUGCGGAACCAGUAAUCCAUUCGGGACAGAAAGAAGAAGAAGAAGAAGAAGGCAUGUUGCUGAAGGCGUGUUGCUACAUCUCGUCGGUAUGACGGGAAUCAGAACCUGAUUCCUGUCAACUUUAACGUUUAAUAUCUCGCGUCGCGGGGCAGAGCAACACUUUUUUCUGCCAGAUUCUUUCAUUUCGUACAAAAACGCGUCGAUUGAGCAUAAUUUCAUCGAUAUUUGAGUGAAACACCAGUGGUAGGGAUGGCUUGAGUGGGCUUGAGUAGGUGGAGGUGGAGGGCAAAGGGCAACCGCCUGCCAUAUAUCCUCAUCCGGCUAGUCUGCCGGUGCAGGCACGUGCCAUGUACAUACAUACAUAGAUCAAAGUGAAGUCCAUGGUCUUCGAUCUAUGUAUGUACAUACAUGACACGUGCCUGCACCGGGCCUUCAUCAGCAAUCAGUGUAUCCCGAAAACAAUCAACUACCGAUUCAUCAGUUCUCUAGUCCACCUCAAAGGCACCGGCCGCAUAUCCGAACACUUGGUAAUUCGUUUGGAGAUUCCAAUCGAAUUACCAAAUGUGUUCGGAUAUGCUCAUGCGCCCGCUCCUCAGCAUGAAUGUGUGUAGGAAAACUCACACUCAGGCUGAGGAGCGGACGCAUGAGCAUAUAAAAAGAUCGAAUUGCUUCUUUUUUAAACGAGUGUACAGAUACAGAAGAUGAAGACGAAUAAGUUAAACAUUCUGCAUAUAGUUUUGAGUAAAAAUAAUAAUUUAAUAAUGUUUUUACAUAAAUAAUUGAAUGUACUAAUAGACGUAUUUUGCAAGUAAUCCAAUUAAGAGAAAGUUCAAGAAAAUAAAAUAUCGCCAAUAAAUGAUGUUUCGGUAAAGAAAGGCGAAAAAAAAAUUGUAAGUAGGUUCAAACUUGAACGAGCCGGAAGAAAGAAGUGACUUGUAAAUAUAUGUUGAAUACAUAUAUUAAAAUUAAAAUUUAUUUUCGCAAUA